Molecule: ribosomal RNA, 668 nt
Filed under: Arthrobacter sp. NCCP-1112
Lineage: Bacteria; Bacillati; Actinomycetota; Actinomycetes; Micrococcales; Micrococcaceae
Description: bacterial SSU rRNA
Rfam family: Bacterial small subunit ribosomal RNA
Source: RNAcentral
CACGUGAGUAACCUGCCCCCGACUCUGGGAUAAGCCCGGGAAACUGGGUCUAAUACCGGAUAUUCACCGUCCCUCGCAUGGGGGGUGGUGGAAAGGUCUUUUCCGGUCGGGGAUGGACUCGCGGCCUAUCAGCUUGUUGGUGGGGUAGUGGCCCACCAAGGCGACGACGGGUAGCCGGCCUGAGAGGGUGACCGGCCACACUGGGACUGAGACACGGCCCAGACUCCUACGGGAGGCAGCAGUGGGGAAUAUUGCACAAUGGGCGAAAGCCUGAUGCAGCGACGCCGCGUGAGGGAUGACGGCCUUCGGGUUGUAAACCUCUUUCAGUAGGGAAGAAGCGAAAGUGACGGUACCUGCAGAAGAAGCGCCGGCUAACUACGUGCCAGCAGCCGCGGUAAUACGUAGGGCGCAAGCGUUAUCCGGAAUUAUUGGGCGUAAAGAGCUCGUAGGCGGUUUGUCGCGUCUGCCGUGAAAGUCCGGGGCUCAACUCCGGAUCUGCGGUGGGUACGGGCAGACUUGAGUGCAGUAGGGGAGACUGGAAUUCCUGGUGUAGCGGUGAAAUGCGCAGAUAUCAGGAGGAACACCGAUGGCGAAGGCAGGUCUCUGGGCUGUAACUGACGCUGAGGAGCGAAAGCAUGGGGAGCGAACAGGAUUAGAUACCCUGGUAG